GCCGGCGUGUCGGAAUGGCAGACGAUGCGGAUUCAAAAUCCGUUGGUGGAAACGCCGUGUGGGUUCGAGUCCCACCGCCGGCACCA
This 86-nucleotide transfer RNA is filed under the name Asaccharospora irregularis DSM 2635. RNAcentral's name for it is "tRNA-Leu". It matches the Rfam family "tRNA". Rfam says of the family: Transfer RNA (tRNA) molecules are approximately 80 nucleotides in length. Their secondary structure includes four short double-helical elements and three loops (D, anti-codon, and T loops). Further hydrogen bonds mediate the characteristic L-shaped molecular structure. tRNAs have two regions of fundamental functional importance: the anti-codon, which is responsible for specific mRNA codon recognition, and the 3' end, to which the tRNAs corresponding amino acid is attached (by aminoacyl-tRNA synthetases). tRNAs cope with the degeneracy of the genetic code in two manners: having more than one tRNA (with a specific anti-codon) for a particular amino acid; and 'wobble' base-pairing, i.e. permitting non-standard base-pairing at the 3rd anti-codon position. Lineage: Bacteria; Bacillati; Bacillota; Clostridia; Peptostreptococcales; Peptostreptococcaceae. The record is from RNAcentral.